This 468-nucleotide ribosomal RNA is filed under the name uncultured bacterium. RNAcentral describes it as "partial 16S ribosomal RNA". It matches the Rfam family "Bacterial small subunit ribosomal RNA", at positions 28 to 507 of the family's 1533-position model. The record is from RNAcentral.
GACGAACGCUGGCGGCGUGCUUAACACAUGCAAGUCGAACGGAAAGGCCCUGCUUUUGUGGGGUGCUCGAGUGGCGAACGGGUGAGUAACACGUGAGUAACCUGCCCUUGACUUUGGGAUAACUUCAGGGAACUGGGGCUAAUACCGGAUAGGAGCUCCUGCUGCAUGGUGGGGGUUGGAAAGUUUCGGCGGUUGGGGAUGGACUCGCGGCUUAUCAGCUUGUUGGUGGGGUAGUGGCUUACCAAGGCUUUGACGGGUAGCCGGCCUGAGAGGGUGACCGGCCACAUUGGGACUGAGAUACGGCCCAGACUCCUACGGGAGGCAGCAGUGGGGAAUAUUGCACAAUGGGCGGAAGCCUGAUGCAGCAACGCCGCGUGCGGGAUGACGGCCUUCGGGUUGUAAACCGCUUUCGCCUGUGACGAAGCGUGAGUGACGGUAAUGGGUAAAGAAGCACCGGCUAACUACGUG